UGACGGACCGUCGGCCCGCGCCGGCGACUCGCCGAAUGAGUUCUGACCUAUCAACUCGAGACGGCGGGGUAGAGGCCCGCCGCGGUAACGACGGGUAACGGGAAGUCAGGGUUCGAUUCCGGAGAGGGAGCCCGAGAAACGGCUACCAUCCAGAAGGCAGCAGGCGCGCAACUUACCCUAAUCUCGAUUCGAGGAGGUAGUGACAAGAAAUACCGAUGCGGGACCCUACGGGUGCCGCGUUCGGAAUGAGUACGAUUCGAACCACCUAACGAGGUACGAUCGGAGGGCAAGUCUGGUGCCAGCAGCCGCGGUAAUUCCAGCUCCAAUAGCGUACGUUAAAAGUUGCUGCAGUUAAAAAGCUCGUAGUUGAACGUUCGGGUUCCGCGGGACGGGGCCGCCCCGCGAGGGACGGCGCCGCCCCGGGGCUCGUGAUAUCUCAUCUCGCCGCCCGUCGCGAGGCGGACGGAGGGGAUGGAUGAGGUUACCUGGAAAAAAAUCGGGGCGAUCUAGGCGGGCGAACCUCGCCAACGAACGAUCGGACAUGG
RNAcentral lists this ribosomal RNA (545 nucleotides) under uncultured eukaryote. Its description in RNAcentral is "bacterial SSU rRNA". It matches the Rfam family "Eukaryotic small subunit ribosomal RNA", at positions 260 to 812 of the family's 1831-position model. The record is from RNAcentral.